UCGAGAAUCUUCCGCAAUGGGCGAAAGCCUGACGGAGCAAUGCCGCGUGCAGGAUGAAGGCCCUCGGGUUGUAAACUGCUGUCAUCGGGGACGAAUAAAUGACGGUACCCGGAGAGGAAGCCACGGCUAACUACGUGCCAGCAGCCGCGGUAAUACGUAGGUGGCGAGCGUUGUUCGGAUUUAUUGGGCGUAAAGGGUUCGUAGGGGGUCGGCCAAGUCUGGCGUGAAAUCCCGGAGCUCAACUCCGGAACUGCGUUGGAAACUAGUCGGCUAGAGCGUCGGAGAGGGGAGUGGAAUUCCUGGUGUAGCGGUGGAAUGCGUAGAUAUCAGGAGGAACACCGAAAGCGAAGGCAGCUCCCUGGACGACCGCUGACCCUGAGGAACGAAAGCGUGGGGAGCAAACAGG
RNAcentral lists this ribosomal RNA (406 nucleotides) under uncultured bacterium. RNAcentral describes it as "bacterial SSU rRNA". It matches the Rfam family "Bacterial small subunit ribosomal RNA", at positions 355 to 776 of the family's 1533-position model. The record is from RNAcentral.